This 467-nucleotide ribosomal RNA is filed under the name uncultured bacterium. RNAcentral describes it as "partial 16S ribosomal RNA". It matches the Rfam family "Bacterial small subunit ribosomal RNA", at positions 28 to 506 of the family's 1533-position model. The record is from RNAcentral.
GACGAACGCUGGCGGCGUGCUUAACACAUGCAAGUCGAACGGAAAGGCCCUGCUUUUGUGGGGUGCUCGAGUGGCGAACGGGUGAGUAACACGUGAGUAACCUGCCCUUGACUUUGGGAUAACUUCAGGAAACUGGGGCUAAUACCGGAUAGGAGCUCCUGCUGCAUGGUGGGGGUUGGAAAGUUUCGGCGGUUGGGGAUGGACUCGCGGCUUAUCAGCUUGUUGGUGGGGUAGUGGCUUACCAAGGCUUUGACGGGUAGCCGGCCUGAGAGGGUGACCGGCCACAUUGGGACUGAGAUACGGCCCAGACUCCUACGGGAGGCAGCAGUGGGGAAUAUUGCACAAUGGGCGGAAGCCUGAUGCAGCAACGCCGCGUGCGGGAUGACGGCCUUCGGGUUGUAAACCGCUUUCGCCUGUGACGAAGCGUGAGGGACGGUAAUGGGUAAAGAAGCACCGGCUAACUACGU